Long non-coding RNA from Equus caballus (horse), 1684 nucleotides. NCBI's taxonomy places the organism in Eukaryota, Metazoa, Chordata, Mammalia, Perissodactyla, Equidae. The record is from Ensembl.
GAUCUGUGUCUUGCUAUUUUGGAUGGCUUGUUAAAGUUUUGAAUCGAAGGAGAGCUGCAAGUUGUUCCAUUCUGGUGCAAGAUGGCAACAUAGGAAGAUCCUGAGCUCACCUCCUCCCAUGGACACACUGAAGAAAUCCAAAAUCUAGCUGAGUGACUCCUACAGCUCAGGUGAAUGAAAAAAACCCACAUCGAAAUGGGUAGGAGAGACUGAGAUAAUCUCGCCAUAGACCCCACCCCUGGCUGGCAACCCACAAUCAGGAGGGAACUCACAACUCCAGCUUCUUGCUGAGGCUUGAACCCCACAUCUGGCACCCCAACUUUUACAACCUGCACCCAAUCUACCCAGUGGGGCUUGCAUCCCCCAGACCCAUAAGGCUUAGUGAACUGAGAAAAUUCUUAAAGGGCUCUCGUGGACCAUGACUAACCCUGGCUACCCACAAGGGCACAGUGCAGAGGCAGGCCAGACUUUCUGUAGGAGAGACCUCUUGCUUAUCUUAAAAGCUUCAACCUGAGGGGCAGGCAUUUAACUUAACACACAUCUAGAGGCCACUGAAUUACUCUCCAAAGACUGUAGAGGCCAGCAGCUGCCACCUUUGCACUCUCCUUCUGCCUUGCUCCAGGUUGCUAGUAUCUCCCAGAAAGGAGCCUGUGCACAUGUCUGGGGCCCCAGCUUUUGCAGCUGCCACCCAGGAGAUGCUCCCUGAUCACCUGGCUCUGGGGGCCAGUGGGACUUAAUAUUCACAGGUCCCACAGGACUGUAAUAAACAGAAACAGUUCUUAACCAGCUGCCCCUCCAGGGCACAGCACAGAGGCAGCAGACAGAAACUCCCAGUCUUUCCAUGAAAGAGGCCUAUUGGGUUAUCUUCAUAGCCACAGCCUGAGGGGCAGGCUUCUAAUUAAACACACAUCUAGGGGCUGACUGCAAUCCUCUCCAGAGACCAGGGAGGCCAGUGGGUGCCAUCUUUGUGCCCUCCCUCUACCCUGCCCCAGGUCACCAGUGCCUCCAAGAAAGGAGCUUGUGCACAUGUCUGGCAUCCUGGCUUCGUGCCUGCCAACCAGAGGACACGGCCCUUGGUAACCUGGCUCUGGUAGCCAGUAGGGCUUGUGUUCAUGAGAUCAAAGGGAUGGUAGCAAACAAACAGUUCUUAACUGGCUAUAACCCCAGGACUCAGUGCAGAGGGUGCAGACAGAAAUACCCAUCUCCCAGUCCUCCCCUGAAAGAAGUAUAUUCACAUUAAAAGCUGCUGCCUGAGGGUCUAGCUUCCAAUCAACCUGAAUCUGGAUGCUGACUGAGAUCCUCCUCUUUGGAACACUGAUAGGUCUUGGCACACCCUCAGCUACUGAGAGCCACUAAGAACAAAGCCGGCUGCUUGGACAGUCACAAAGACUUGAGAGACAAUCGGAAACUAGGGCAGGGUUGAACAGUAAGUUUCAUCUCCUGCACAAGACCACUCCCUCAAGACUGGGAGAGGUGGCUGCUUUAUCUAAUGCAUAGAAACCAACACUAGGAGUCAAGGAAAAUGAAUAAACAAAGGAAUAUGUUCCCAAUGAAAGAACGAUAAAAUUUCAGAAAAAUACCUUAAUGAAACAGAGAUAAGUGAUUUACCUGAUAUAGGGUUCAAAAUAGCAGUCAUAAAGAUGCUCACUGAGGUCAGGAGAACAAUUCAUGAACAAAGUGAGAA